UUAAGCGACUAAGCGUACACGGUGGAUGCCCUGGCAGUCAGAGGCGAUGAAGGACGUGCUAAUCUGCGAAAAGCGUCGGUAAGGUGAUAUGAACCGUUAUAGCCGGCGAUGUCCGAAUGGGGAAACCCAGUGCAAUUCGUUGCACUAUCGUUAACUGAAUACAUAGGUUAACGAGGCGAACCGGGGGAACUGAAACAUCUAAGUACCCCGAGGAAAAGAAAUCAACCGAGAUUCCCCCAGUAGCGGCGAGCGAACGGGGAGCAGCCCAGAGUCUGAAUCAGCUUGUGUGUUAGUGGAACGGUCUGGAAAGUCCGACGGUACAGGGUGAUAGUCCCGUACACCAAAAUGCACAGGCUGUGAACUCGAAGAGUAGGGCGGGACACGUGGUAUCCUGUCUGAAUAUGGGGGGACCAUCCUCCAAGGCUAAAUACUCCUGACUGACCGAUAGUGAACCAGUACCGUGAGGGAAAGGCGAAAAGAACCCCGGCGAGGGGAGUGAAAAAGAACCUGAAACCGUGUACGUACAAGCAGUGGGAGCACCUUCGGGUGUGACUGCGUACCUUUUGUAUAAUGGGUCAGCGACUUAUAUUCUGUAGCAAGGUUAACCGUAUAGGGGAGCCGCAGGGAAACCGAGUCUUAACUGGGCGUUAAGUUGCAGGGUAUAGACCCGAAACCCGGUGAUCUAGCCAUGGGCAGGUUGAAGGUUGGGUAACACUAACUGGAGGACCGAACCGACUAAUGUUGAAAAAUUAGCGGAUGACUUGUGGCUGGGGGUGAAAGGCCAAUCAAACCGGGAGAUAGCUGGUUCUCCCCGAAAGCUAUUUAGGUAGCGCCUCGUGAACUCAUCUUCGGGGGUAGAGCACUGUUUCGGCUAGGGGGUCAUCCCGACUUACCAACCCGAUGCAAACUACGAAUACCGAAGAAUGUUAUCACGGGAGACACACGGCGGGUGCUAACGUCCGUCGUGAAGAGGGAAACAACCCAGACCGCCAGCUAAGGUCCCAAAGUCAUGGUUAAGUGGGAAACGAUGUGGGAAGGCACAGACAGCCAGGAUGUUGGCUUAGAAGCAGCCAUCAUUUAAAGAAAGCGUAAUAGCUCACUGGUCGAGUCGGCCUGCGCGGAAGAUGUAACGGGGCUAAACCAUGCACCGAAGCUGCGGCAGCGACACUAUGUGUUGUUGGGUAGGGGAGCGUUCUGUAAGCCUGCGAAGGUGUGCUGUGAGGCAUGCUGGAGGUAUCAGAAGUGCGAAUGCUGACAUAAGUAACGAUAAAGCGGGUGAAAAGCCCGCUCGCCGGAAGACCAAGGGUUCCUGUCCAACGUUAAUCGGGGCAGGGUGAGUCGACCCCUAAGGCGAGGCCGAAAGGCGUAGUCGAUGGGAAACAGGUUAAUAUUCCUGUACUUGGUGUUACUGCGAAGGGGGGACGGAGAAGGCUAUGUUAGCCGGGCGACGGUUGUCCCGGUUUAAGCAUGUAGGCUGAUUGUCCAGGCAAAUCCGGAUAAUCAAGGCUGAGGUGUGAUGACGAGGCACUACGGUGCUGAAGUAACAAAUGCCCUGCUUCCAGGAAAAGCCUCUAAGCAUCAGGUAACAUUAAAUCGUACCCCAAACCGACACAGGUGGUCAGGUAGAGAAUACCAAGGCGCUUGAGAGAACUCGGGUGAAGGAACUAGGCAAAAUGGUGCCGUAACUUCGGGAGAAGGCACGCUGGUGUGUAGGUGAAGUCCCUGCGGAUGGAGCUGAGACCAGUCGAAGAUACCAGCUGGCUGCAACUGUUUAUUAAAAACACAGCACUGUGCAAACACGAAAGUGGACGUAUACGGUGUGACGCCUGCCCGGUGCCGGAAGGUUAAUUGAUGGGGUUAUCCGUAAGGAGAAGCUCUUGAUCGAAGCCCCGGUAAACGGCGGCCGUAACUAUAACGGUCCUAAGGUAGCGAAAUUCCUUGUCGGGUAAGUUCCGACCUGCACGAAUGGCGUAAUGAUGGCCAGGCUGUCUCCACCCGAGACUCAGUGAAAUUGAACUCGCUGUGAAGAUGCAGUGUACCCGCGGCAAGACGGAAAGACCCCGUGAACCUUUACUAUAGCUUGACACUGAACAUUGAGCCUUGAUGUGUAGGAUAGGUGGGAGGCUUUGAAGCGUGGACGCCAGUCUGCGUGGAGCCAACCUUGAAAUACCACCCUUUAAUGUUUGAUGUUCUAACGUUGGCCCCUGACCGGGGUUGCGGACAGUGUCUGGUGGGUAGUUUGACUGGGGCGGUCUCCUCCCAAAGCGUAACGGAGGAGCACGAAGGUUAGCUAAUCCUGGUCGGACAUCAGGAGGUUAGUGCAAUGGCAUAAGCUAGCUUGACUGCGAGCGUGACGGCGCGAGCAGGUGCGAAAGCAGGUCAUAGUGAUCCGGUGGUUCUGAAUGGAAGGGCCAUCGCUCAACGGAUAAAAGGUACUCCGGGGAUAACAGGCUGAUACCGCCCAAGAGUUCAUAUCGACGGCGGUGUUUGGCACCUCGAUGUCGGCUCAUCACAUCCUGGGGCUGAAGUAGGUCCCAAGGGUAUGGCUGUUCGCCAUUUAAAGUGGUACGCGAGCUGGGUUUAGAACGUCGUGAGACAGUUCGGUCCCUAUCUGCCGUGGGCGCUGGAGAAUUGAGGGGGGCUGCUCCUAGUACGAGAGGACCGGAGUGGACGCAUCACUGGUGUUCGGGUUGUCAUGCCAAUGGCACUGCCCGGUAGCUAAAUGCGGAAGAGAUAAGUGCUGAAAGCAUCUAAGCACGAAACUUGCCCCGAGAUGAGUUCUCCCUGAGACUUUAAGUCUCCUGAAGGAACGUUAAAGACGAUGACGUUGAUAGGCCGGGUGUGUAAGCGCAGCGAUGCGUUGAGCUAACCGGUACUAAUGAACCGUGAGGCUUAACCUU
RNAcentral lists this ribosomal RNA (2900 nucleotides) under Klebsiella pneumoniae BIDMC 21. RNAcentral's name for it is "bacterial LSU rRNA". It matches the Rfam family "Bacterial large subunit ribosomal RNA". The record is from RNAcentral. RNAcentral also lists the same sequence under 1 other name. Lineage: Bacteria; Pseudomonadati; Pseudomonadota; Gammaproteobacteria; Enterobacterales; Enterobacteriaceae.